GACGAACGCUGGCGGCGUGCUUAACACAUGCAAGUCGAACGGAAAGGCCCUGCUUUGGUUGUGUGCUCGAGUGGCGAACGGGUGAGUAACACGUGAGUAACCUGCCCUUGACUUUGGGAUAACUUCUGGAAACGAGGGCUAAUACCGCAUAGGAGCUCAUGCUGCAUGAUGGUGGUUGAAAAGUUUCGACGGGUGGGCAUGUACGCGCGGCUUAUUUGCAUUUUGGUGUGGUAGUGGCUAACCAAGGCUUUGGCGGGUAGCCGCACUGGGAGGGUGACAGGCCACAGUGGGACAGAGAAACGAGCCAGACUGCUACGGGAGGAAGCGGUGGAGAAUAUUGCAAGAUAGGCGGCAGCCGGAUGCAGCAACGCCGCGUGCGGGAUGACGGCCUUCGGGUUGUAAACCGCUUGCGCCUGUGACGAAGCGUGAGUGACGGUAAUGGGUAAAGAAGCAACGGCUAACUACGUG
RNAcentral lists this ribosomal RNA (468 nucleotides) under uncultured bacterium. RNAcentral describes it as "partial 16S ribosomal RNA". It matches the Rfam family "Bacterial small subunit ribosomal RNA", at positions 28 to 507 of the family's 1533-position model. The record is from RNAcentral.